Molecule: long non-coding RNA, 560 nt
Filed under: Salvia miltiorrhiza (redroot sage)
Lineage: Eukaryota; Viridiplantae; Streptophyta; Magnoliopsida; Lamiales; Lamiaceae
Description: long non-coding RNA (SMIL_LNC002929)
Source: RNAcentral
GACAAAGCUGUCUCUGGUUGAACUCUGGCUCUGGCAUGCUGUCUCUGGUACCUCUGGCUCUGGCAGGUUGUUUAUAGUUUCUUUCUUUUAAGUAUGUAAUUUAUGUAUUAAAAGGCGAGAUUUUUCUGUAGUUUCUUUCUUUUAAUAUUUGUAGUUUCUUUCUUUUUUCUAUAGUUUCUUUCUUUUAAUACUUGUAGUUUUUUUCUUUUUUCUAUAGUUUCUUUCUUGUAUUACUUGUAGUUUCUUUUAAGUAUGUAGUUUCUUUUUUCUUUUUCGUUUCAAAUUUUUAAUUAUUUUUUUAUUUUAUUUAGUUUGAAAAAUAGUAUCAUUUAAUUUGUUAUAUAUUAAAGGUUUCAUUUAGUAAGAAAAAUAGUAUCAUUUGUUCUAUAUUUAAAGGUUUCUGAUGAAGCAAGAAAUUUGACCCUAAAUAUAAAAACGAUAAACGAUACAUGAAUUUACGUGGUUCGGUCAUUAAGACCUACAUGCACGGGCGAUUUACGAGUAUUUCCACUGUGAUCUGUGUGUUACGAGUACAAGCUGAGUAAUAAGAAUGAAUCCCC